Non-coding RNA from Taeniopygia guttata (zebra finch), 1707 nucleotides. NCBI's taxonomy places the organism in Eukaryota, Metazoa, Chordata, Aves, Passeriformes, Estrildidae. The record is from RefSeq and is a predicted model, not a curated record.
CCCCUCCAAGUUCUCUUCUUUACAUCUAGUGUUUAGUACACUGUGUUCUCAACAGUGUUAAAAGCUCACUGUCAUUCACAAGUGCUGUUCUUUCUUUAAUACUGGAACAGAAGCUGAGAUCUUAAAAAAUUGACCAUGAUGUUUUUUUCUCAGAUGAUACAGGCUUAAUUGUGGUGUGUUGUAAAAUUGAAUUGAAAACCCUUGAGAGCUGCUAUGAGCAGAUUUUAGACAUUGGUCCCAAAGAAGGCUAUAUUUUUAUUUCUGUGUGCAUUUACAUCCAUUGUCUACUCUCUGUGAUAUCUAAUGUUACAUAAUUUGAUAUACUAAAUUAAAACAUCGUCUGGUCAGCGCUCAUUAUGACUCUUCAUUAAGCUAUAUUCUGGAUUGAAGUAAUUCAGCACCUUUGUAAUAGCAUGAAAGUCCACCUCAGCAAGCCUAAAUCAUUGUCUCACCUGUAAAACUGACAUUGGGAAAGGUUUAGCACAUACUUACUAUAUCUUUCUAGGACAAGGUUCUUUAAUCAGAGUUACUGUGUGAGACCUUUGUUCAUUCUUAGGAAAAGGCAUCACAGACCUCUCACAAAGUGAAAUCUAAAUCCUAUGAGUACUUACACAUUAUGUUGAAUGUGGAAAGUAGGGAAAACCAGCCCUGAGAAAAUUCUUUGGUGUUGGGAAUAAGAAGAUGAACCUUGGCACCAUGGAGUUGCAUCCUCCUUCAGUAUCCCCUUGGUAAAAGUUCGCAUCAAUUCAUUUUAAGGAAAAACUUGAAAUAUUUUUAUCCCUCUUCUACACAGAAUGUGGGAUACCCAAUUUUUUAUAAUUGCCUGAGAGGUCUGAAACUCUCAAGUCCAAGGCAAGAAGCAGUAAACUAUUCACUGGAAAUGCUUUAGGUGUGUUGUUACUCCAAGGACUGCAUAUUAGCUAAUGACUGAAUGACACAAGGCCAGAAACAGACUUUGAAAGGAUAGAAAAUGGGGCAUGCUUUUUCCCAUGACAGCUACCUAAUCACUGAUAAUAGUCAUGCUGCUAUUCUUUUAUUCUUACAUGCUCUUCCUCACUGACAUUUAAAAGAUUUUAUUUCUUUUAGGGUGAAAAGACAUCCAGGUGCAUCUUUGAGGUCUCCGAUCAGAAGAUAUUGAAGAAAAAUUGUGGGAAAGGAGUUAUUUUGUGUGAAAACAGGCACAAAAGAGUGACUUCAGAUCUGGAAGAAAUUAUUUCAGCUGCAUUCUGAACUUGGCCUCGUAUCUUUUGUUUGGAAAAUGUCUUCACGUAAGAAUGGAUUUAAUAGCAAUGAGAAAGGCUCCAGGCAGAAAGAAAAUAGUUGCUUCUACAUUAAUGAAUAGACAAAAUUACAGUUAAUAACUAAAACCAUGGAGCUCUCAAAUUAAUAAAAAUCAUCACCUUACAGGUUUCUAAGGUUUGGUCUCACUCAAAAAACCAGUUGUACUUCUGCUGUGAUUUUUUAAAAAAAUUACAAUUUUAUAUAUAUAACUCCUGCUGAAAUGGGUUAUUUGUCUAUAACUACUUCACAGUUUGCAUAAAAAAGACAGAACAUGAUUAUCAAGAACUUUUUCAAAGCUGUUAACAAAUUAUGCUGUCAUUUAGAGAAGUGCACACAAAAGAGAAAUGUAAAAAAAAUUGAUGAUUUUAUAUUGAAUGAGAUUGUUACUCUGUUGCACAAAACUUAAUUAAAAUAAUCUUAAUGGUU